AUUGAACGCUGGCGGCAGGCCUAACACAUGCAAGUCGAGCGAGCGGCGGACGGGUGAGUAAUGUCUGGGAAACUGCCUGCUGGAGGGGGAUAACUACCGGAAACGGACGCUAAUUACGCACACCCUCAGAUGUGCCCAGCUGGGUUUAGCUAGUAGGUGGGGUAACGGCUCACCUAGGCGACGAUCCCUAGCUGGUCUGAGAGGAAGACCAGCCACAAUGGAACUGAGAUACGGUCCAGACUCCUGCGGGAGACAGAAGUGGGGAAUAUUGCACAAUGGGGGCAAAACUGAUGCAGCCAUGCCGCGUGUGUGAAGGAGGCCUUCGGGUUGUAAAGCACUUUCAGCGGGGAGGCGUUACCCGCAGAAGAAGCACCGGCUAACUCCGUGCCAGCAGCCGCGGUAAUUC
Molecule: ribosomal RNA, 406 nt
Filed under: uncultured bacterium
Lineage: Bacteria
Description: partial 16S ribosomal RNA
Rfam family: Bacterial small subunit ribosomal RNA
Source: RNAcentral